UUAUGGGGCUGUGCGACAAGCGGCUGGGCGUCCCCUUUUUUACUUUCCGCCUUCUCCCAACGUCCAUACACACAUCUGUGUGUGUGUGCCGCGGGGUUGCGGAAAUGUGGGGGGCCGCCCGUCGCCUUUGGGGGUUCAUUUUUUUCUCGCGCCGCAUGCGUCUUUUUUGUACGUACGCAGCGCGUGGUUCCCUCAACUCUCGGCAUCCAGGAAUGAAGGAGGGUAGUUCGGGGGAGAACGUACUGGUGCGUCAGAGGUGACCAUUGUAGUCCACACUGCAAACGAUGACACCCAUGAAUUGGGGAGUUUUUGGUCGUGGCAGGGCGCGCGUCGGGCUCCUCUCUUUCUUUUCCAAGAAAAGAGAGUCCCGUCGUCUUGCGAUUCCUUUUGCCGCGCCAAUUGACAUCAAUUUACGUGCAUAUUCUUUUUGGCCGUUCUCCCUCACGGGGGUCGGUCUUU
This 459-nucleotide ribosomal RNA is filed under the name Trypanosoma dionisii. RNAcentral's name for it is "partial 18S ribosomal RNA". The record is from RNAcentral. Lineage: Eukaryota; Euglenozoa; Kinetoplastea; Trypanosomatida; Trypanosomatidae.